GUGGUCGUCGUCGUCGUCGUCGUCAAGUCCCGGGUCAAUUCGCGAACUGAGUCUCGCCGUUAGUUGUCCAGAUGGCGGGAUUGCGCAUUUUUGCACAUGAGUAAGAGACGCGCGAUUAUGUGUGCGUAUUCCUUGUAGUCGCGUGUAGUCGUGUAGUGCCUCCGUAUACCUUUUUCGUUGGUUGUUUCUCAAACGAUUUUACACUCAACAUUUUGUUCUUAGUAAAAAAAAUAUUUUUUUUUUAAUAAUCAUCGAUAGUACUCACAUCCAUAAGUACAAUAAAUAUGAUUAAGUAAAAAUGGUGAUGAUAAGAAUGAAAAAAUAUUUAAGCGAAUAAUCGAUCGGGCUUAAGUUGACAGCAAAUCAACGUCCAACGUUGUCUAGGUUUUGUGACUGUGUGUACACCAGUAACCAGCAUAGCAUAGCAUAGCAGGAAAGCACACAACUUCAUACUAUCAUACAACUCAACAGUACUCUUACUCGUGAGCCCGAGAGUGUAAGGCAGUGCCGGUGGCAGCGGCACCAGCGGUGGUGGCCGUGGUGACUACGGGUACAAACGUGUGUGGGUAUUCAGAGAGAAGAGAGACAACCAGAGAAAGAAGAUUCCGAGUAGAGGUGAAGAGCAAGAGGAGUUUUACGUAUUCGUGCUGCUGUGUACUGGAGUAGUCAUCAUCAUCAUCAUCAUCACCGUCGUGUGCUUUCAUGUGAGUUUUAGAGUAGUAUUGCGGAGCUGGGAAGAGAGAAGAAAGACAGGAGACCGCGACCACGACGACGACGAUGACGAUGACGAUGACGAUGACGACAAUGAUAACAGACAAGAGAAUCGGACAAAGUAUAUUCGCGAUUUAUAUGUAUGUAUAUAUCAACAGUAUCUUUUAUCCGCGUACAGUAAGUGCCGGUCACACGUGAAAAAAAUUUUUAAAUUUUAAUCCCGGAAUUUAUUAGCCGCGAAUUGUUUAAAUUACAGCGAAAACGGAGUUGAAUUACUUUUUUAAAUUUUUUUCCCGAGUGUUUCAAGUGUCAAGUGAUAAAGUUUAAAAUUUAUGAAAUAGAUAUUUAUAUCUAUAUAGAGAUUUAAUUAUUGAAUAUCUAUUACUGUACGUAUGUUGUAUUUGGUGGCAAAGUGUGUAUGGUAUAAAUUAACAGCUCGUGUGUUAUGUUAGUUGGGUCUAUAUUUUUGCGUGCGGUGUAUUCUGUAUACAGAGUAGCACAGAGUAGACUAAAAGACGUGUGAUGGUCGCUGUUGGCUGUUGCUGAGCGAGACUCACUGGCCGGAAAUAUAUAAGCCUUGAGAGCUAGAGUUUGCUCAGUACUCCAAUACACAACUGAGUACAGUAGCCACAAGUAUAAUAGUCAUUUACUUAACUUUUUUUUUUUUUACUUAAUUUUUUUUUACUUUCUGUUCUUUAUUUUUUUCGAGCUUUGUAUGAAAUGAAAGAUAUUGUGCUGGGAAUGAAUAAGAGACAUCAAAAGUUUAAGACUACAUACAUAUUAUACAUACGUCUAUAUGUAUAUAUAUCUGGAGAGGGCUUUUGAUUUGUAUAUAAAUGUACACGAGUAACAGUAGUUGUAGACUCUUUAAAUUCUAGAAGUUUUUUUUUAUUUUUUAUUUUAUGAUUAUUCUAUGAGUAAGUUUUGUGCGUAUAUUCGUGUGAUAUGUGAGUUGGUCGGUGACCAGAAGGACGCUGGUAUAUAUAAUAUAUAUAUAUAUGUAUGUAAUGUAUGGAGGAGGUGAGGAGAGACCAGAGUAGUAGUGGAUCGAGAGGGAGACUCAGUCGUGCGCGCGAGAGGGCAGUGAUCUCUCGGGGAGCGGCGACCUGACACCAACGACCGAUAGCUAUAGGAUAUAUACAUCCAUCUCACUCUGUUCAAGAUCCCAGACUCCACGAUCUUACACUUUUAAACUCAUCUCCACUCUCAGAUACUCGGACCAUUCCAAGACGUUAUUUUUUUCCUCUAUUUGAUCAUCAUGGUGUCUUGCUAUACUCUCGUCAUCUCCUUGCCUAAUGAGUACACCAUCAUUUCAUCGUAUUACCAAGGUGACCUGGUAUACACGGCAGUCCAUGGGGAGUCCCGUUGAACCUGAAAUGACACCACCUGGCGAGUGACGAUGUUACACUCCCCCAGUCCCCCUGGAGAUAUAUGACACACUAUCCCAUAAGAUGAGAUGACGAGGAGAGACUACUGCCUCAUUUACACACAUAUAUAGUAUACCUGUACUAAUAAUAGUAAUAAUAAUAAUAAUAAUGACAAUGACAAUCGUAAUAAUAAUGAUAAUAAUCCAGUCGUCAAUCUGCGGACGACACAUUAAUGCACACACUCACAAGAGAAGCUGCUACUUGAUGACACUAACCCGUAGAUCCGAACUUGUGGGCUAUUUUAUAUGCAUACCGCAAGCUCCUAUCUACCGGUACAUGUAGUCAGGCCGGCGUUUUAAGAUUGAUAUAUAUAUUCAUAUAUAUCUCUUACGUCUAAACGUCCAGUACCAUGAUAUAUAUCUAUAUCUAUAUUUAUAUAUAUAUAUACAUAUAUAAUUUAUGUGUACGCACAUCUAUUGGGAUCAUCUUAAAAUCUCAUGGUUCAUCGAUCGAGUCUAUCAGGACAAUAAUUGAAUUCAUUAAUUACUUUUAUUAAUUAUAUUUAUAUUAUUUUACUAGCAGAUAAAUUUAUAAACUUUUUAUUAUCUUUUGUUUUCUUUUUUAUUAUUGCAGUUAUUUUGCUUUGUCCUGAGUUUGUAAUCAUGAGGAGGAAAAAAUGUCCAAUCUAAUCAAGAUACUCACAAUUUACAUUAA
Microplitis mediator is the source of this 2792-nucleotide long non-coding RNA. RefSeq lists it as uncharacterized. The transcript has 3 exons. Lineage: Eukaryota; Metazoa; Arthropoda; Insecta; Hymenoptera; Braconidae. The record is from RefSeq and is a predicted model, not a curated record.